CAGAUGAUAACCUGACAAUAUCACAAGUACACGAUUAUAAACAGAUGAGUACUCGAAGGAAAAGUACAGAAAACAUGAAAAUGUGCAGCACAGUCAUGAUUGAGUUGAGGCUGGGGGUCAGAAAAGAUGUCUUUGAGGAAGAACAAUUUAAACUGAAGUUUGAAGGAAGAGGAGAACAAACAAAACAAGAUGUGUGUGUGUAUGUAUGUAUGUGUGUGUGUGUGUGUGUGUGUGUGUGUGUGUGUCGUCCCCAUGCACACGCCACCCCAGGGAGAAGUCAGAAGUAUCUGCACGUGCAAUGGCCCCGGGGUGGAAGACAGGAUGGAACGUUUAAGAAAUGAAAGGUCACUGUUGUUGAAGUCAAGGGAGCAAAGGGGAGAGGAAUGUGAAAUGUGGCUGAAAACACAGAAAAGGGUGACAGCAGCAGCCACUUGUAGGCCACAUGCAGGAUUUUGGUGUUUUCCCAGGAAAAACAGGAAGUCAGAAGUCACUGAGGAGUUUUAAGAAGAAGAGUGAAAUGGUGCGGCGGAUGUGAACAAGACCAAGUCCAAGCCCUUGUGGAAUCAACAAAUCAACCAGACCUACCCUAAUACUCCAAGAGAAUAACAAAUAGAACACAUGAACAAAAAUAGAAAUGCAAAUGGCAAAUAAAGAUAUAAAUGAA
This is a non-coding RNA of Vicugna pacos (alpaca), 664 nucleotides long. Lineage: Eukaryota; Metazoa; Chordata; Mammalia; Artiodactyla; Camelidae. The record is from RefSeq and is a predicted model, not a curated record.